AACCUAAGCGGGGACAGAAAAGAACACGUAUAUGUCCCCAGGGCUAGUUCUUUCCCUAGGUCUGGUUUUACAAAUUCUGGUAAUAACA
This is a small nucleolar RNA of Phodopus roborovskii (desert hamster), 88 nucleotides long. RefSeq annotates it as small nucleolar RNA SNORA72. The record is from RefSeq and is a predicted model, not a curated record. The transcript has a single exon. Lineage: Eukaryota; Metazoa; Chordata; Mammalia; Rodentia; Cricetidae.